GCAGUCGAGCGGAACGAGUUAUCUGAACCUUCGGGGAACGAUAACGGCGCUCUACCGGCGGACGGGUGAGUAAUGCCUAGGAAAUUGCCCUGAUGUGGGGGAUAACCAUUGGAAACGAUGGCUAAUACCGCAUAAUACCUACGGGUCAAAGAGGGGGACCUUCGGGCCUCUCGCGUCAGGAUAUGCCUAGGUGGGAUUAGCUAGUUGGUGAGGUAAUGGCUCACCAAGGCGACGAUCCCUAGCUGGUCUGAGAGGAUGAUCAGCCACACUGGAACUGAGACACGGUCCAGACUCCUACGGGAGGCAGCAGUGGGGAAUAUUGCACAAUGGGCGCAAGCCUGAUGCAGCCAUGCCGCGUGUGUGAAGAAGGCCUUCGGGUUGUAAAGCACUUUCAGUCGUGAGGAAGGUAGUGUAGUUAAUAGCUGCAUUAUUUGACGUUAGCGACAGAAGAAGCACCGGCUAACUCCGUGCCAGCAGCCGCGGUAAUACGGAGGGUGCGAGCGUUAAUCGGAAUUACUGGGCGUAAAGCGCAUGCAGGUGGUUUGUUAAGUCAGAUGUGAAAGCCCGGGGCUCAACCUCGGAAUAGCAUUUGAAACUGGCAGACUAGAGUACUGUAGAGGGGGGUAGAAUUUCAGGUGUAGCGGUGAAAUGCGUAGAGAUCUGAAGGAAUACCGGUGGCGAAGGCGGCCCCCUGGACAGAUACUGACACUCAGAUGCGAAAGCGUGGGGAGCAAACAGGAUUUAGAUACCCUGGUAGUCCACGCCGUAAACGAUGUCUACUUGGAGGUUGUGGCCUUGAGCCGUGGCUUUCGGAGCUAACGCGUUAAGUAGACCGCCUGGGGAGUACGGUCGCAAGAUUAAAACUCAAAUGAAUUGACGGGGGCCCCCCACAAGCGGUGGAAGCAUGUGGUUUUAAUUUCCA
RNAcentral lists this ribosomal RNA (922 nucleotides) under Vibrio harveyi. RNAcentral's name for it is "bacterial SSU rRNA". It matches the Rfam family "Bacterial small subunit ribosomal RNA", at positions 57 to 956 of the family's 1533-position model. Lineage: Bacteria; Pseudomonadati; Pseudomonadota; Gammaproteobacteria; Vibrionales; Vibrionaceae. The record is from RNAcentral.